GCCAAGCGCACCACGUUAGACAGUAAGGGGAAGGAGAAAUGCAUUAUGCAAACCUGGAGGGAAAAGCAUCUGUUUCCCUCUCGCCCGCUCCCAGCACAACCUGCUGCUUAAAAGGAAAAAAGACACAGCUCUGAGAAGUGCCUCUGCUUGUUGGGAAAAGAGAGAGAGACGCUUCAAGGGGAUUGGACUUUGUUCAGCGGCGGCGGCGGGGCUGUGGGGAUCUCACGCUCUUCCUCGACAGCCGGACAUAAAUCCUCCGGAAGGGAGGGGAAGGAGAAAUACUCUGAUGAGGAACCACUGUCCUAAAUCCCAAAGCAGGGAAACCAGGGCCAUGCUGGGAGCUCUUCCACGGUGGCUACAAAAGACCCGUGCCAGUUCAUGAUCCCUGCUAGGGAUGAAAGCAGCUCACUGCGGCCACUCGGCCCCGCGGCCGGAGCUUCUUCCUCCACUUGAAGGACAAAGGAAUAAAUGGGAGGUCACCUGGCGUUCAGAUGAUCUCCGUGUGGGAUUAAUUGCUCCCACAUCAUCUUCCCCAGCCAGAUGUUGCCAGUGUGGGCAUGGCUGGGCGAUUUCUGAGGGAGCUGGAGAUGAAAAAAACACGUGGACAAGAAGUGACCUUCCCUCCCUGCUGGACCCUGGCCAUCCCCACCGCCUCGUGGCUCUGGGAUGGGAGCUGCUGACUGGGGAAGACACGAGGAGUCAGGAGCCUGAAAAGCUCUGAAAUCCACCCAAAACCAGAGCAGCCCACGCCUGAUCGUUUCGCUUUCUCUUCCUAGUGAGUGCUGGAGUAUUAAUAACCUUUUGGUGUAAAAUUACUGCGUUUAAAAAAUUUCAUUACGUCUCUAUGUCACGGGACAUAGAGCAGAGGCAAACCUAAUUAAAUUACUGAGAAUUAAAUUGCUGGCCCCUCCAGCAAAGCCUGGGGGAGGGGGUCGAUCCCUCCAGCUUUGCAAGGGAUCUGAAUUACUCAGCUCAGCUCUUCUCCCACCAAAGCCAGAGCCCUGGGGAAGGAGCCCAGUUCAGCCCCUGUGCCUGCCACUGGGAAGCUGGGGAGGGAGGGGGGGAGAUGAUGCUCAUGGUGGAUUUGUUUAUUAAGGUCCAUAAUUAACAGUGAUGAGAUCUGCAGGAGAGGGAAGCGGUUGCCUCCAUGAGAACAGGGGGAGGGCGAGAUGGUUUUGGUGCUAUUUAAAGGAGAAUCUGAAAAGGCAGGAGGCUGCAAACACCGAGGUUCCUGCAAGCUCAGCAGAGCUGGUUUCCCCCACCAGCCUGGACGUGGCCGGGGGCUUGUGUGGGGGGACUGGCUGCUGCUGACCCUCCUUCCCCGUCCCGGGGCUGGUUAUUUCAGAACACCUUUGCAUCCCUUUUGAUGUGGCCUAUUUCUAAAACCCCAGCAGCAAUUUGCAGAGGAUUUCCUGCUGAUUUGGGAGGCUGGGAGCGGAGCGAGGGGGGCGAUGUGGCUGGGUGUGCAGGCUGGGGGGAUGGACUGGGAAGCUGGGGAAGGAGGGGGGGAGAUGAUGCUCAUGGUGGAUUUGUUUAUUAAGGUCCAUAAUUAACAGUGAUGAGAUCUGCAGGAGAGGGAAGCGGUUGCCUCCAUGAGAACAGGGGGAGGGCGAGAUGGUUUUGGUGCUAUUUAAAGGAGAAUCUGAAAAGGCAGGAGGCUGCAAACACCGAGGUUCCUGCAAGCUCAGCAGAGCUGGUUUCCCCCACCAGCCUGGACGUGG
RNAcentral lists this long non-coding RNA (1721 nucleotides) under Calidris pugnax (ruff). RNAcentral's name for it is "lncRNA (ENSCPUG00000004454.1)". Lineage: Eukaryota; Metazoa; Chordata; Aves; Charadriiformes; Scolopacidae. The record is from RNAcentral.